This 1017-nucleotide ribosomal RNA is filed under the name uncultured organism. RNAcentral's name for it is "bacterial SSU rRNA". It matches the Rfam family "Bacterial small subunit ribosomal RNA", at positions 356 to 1376 of the family's 1533-position model. The record is from RNAcentral.
GAGGAAUAUUGGUCAAUGGGCGCAGGCCUGAACCAGCCAAGUAGCGUGAAGGAUGACUGCCCUAUGGGUUGUAAACUUCUUUUAUAUGGGAAUAAAGUUUUCCACGUGUGGAAUUUUGUAUGUACCAUAUGAAUAAGGAUCGGCUAACUCCGUGCCAGCAGCCGCGGUAAUACGGAGGAUCCGAGCGUUAUCCGGAUUUAUUGGGUUUAAAGGGAGCGUAGGUGGACAGUUAAGUCAGUUGUGAAAGUUUGCGGCUCAACCGUAAAAUUGCAGUUGAUACUGGCUGUCUUGAGUACAGUAGAGGUGGGCGGAAUUCGUGGUGUAGCGGUGAAAUGCUUAGAUAUCACGAAGAACUCCGAUUGCGAAGGCAGCUCACUGGACUGCAACUGACACUGAUGCUCGAAAGUGUGGGUAUCAAACAGGAUUAGAUACCCUGGUAGUCCACACAGUAAACGAUGAAUACUCGCUGUUUGCGAUAUACAGUAAGCGGCCAAGCGAAAGCGUUAAGUAUUCCACCUGGGGAGUACGCCGGCAACGGUGAAACUCAAAGGAAUUGACGGGGGCCCGCACAAGCGGAGGAACAUGUGGUUUAAUUCGAUGAUACGCGAGGAACCUUACCCGGGCUUGAAUUGCAACUGAAUGAUGUGGAGACAUGUCAGCCGCAAGGCAGUUGUGAAGGUGCUGCAUGGUUGUCGUCAGCUCGUGCCGUGAGGUGUCGGCUUAAGUGCCAUAACGAGCGCAACCCUUAUCGAUAGUUACCAUCAGGUUAUGCUGGGGACUCUGUCGAGACUGCCGUCGUAAGAUGUGAGGAAGGUGGGGAUGACGUCAAAUCAGCACGGCCCUUACGUCCGGGGCUACACACGUGUUACAAUGGGGGGUACAGAAGGCAGCUACACGGCGACGUGAUGCUAAUCCCGAAAGCCUCUCUCAGUUCGGAUUGGAGUCUGCAACCCGACUCCAUGAAGCUGGAUUCGCUAGUAAUCGCGCAUCAGCCACGGCGCGGUGAAUACGUUCCCG